This 482-nucleotide ribosomal RNA is filed under the name uncultured bacterium. RNAcentral's name for it is "partial 16S ribosomal RNA". It matches the Rfam family "Bacterial small subunit ribosomal RNA", at positions 28 to 507 of the family's 1533-position model. The record is from RNAcentral.
GACGAACGCUGGCGGCGUGCUUAACACAUGCAAGUCGAACGAUGAAGAAGAGAAACGCGAACUUCGGUUCAAAUUUCACUUCGGAUUAGUGGCAGACGGGUGAGUAACGCGUGAGCAACCUACCUCUUACAAAGGGAUAGCCUCGGGAAACCGUGAUUAAUACCAUAUGACACAUUCAUAAGGCAUCUUAAGAAUGUUAAAGCUACGGCGGUAAGAGAUGGGCUCGCGUCCCAUUAGCUAGUUGGUGAGGUAACGGCCCACCAAGGCGACGAUGGGUAACCGGCCUGAGAGAGUCAACGGUCACAUUGGAACUGAGACACAGUCCGAACUCCUACGGGAGGCAGCAGUGGGGAAUAUUGCACAAUGGAGGGAACUCUGAUGCAGCGACGCCGCUUGAGCGAUGAAGGAAUUCGUUACGUAAAGCUCUGUUCUAUGGGAAGAAAAGGACUGUACCAUAGGAGAAAGCCCCGGCUAAAUACGUG